AUACGUAGGUGACAAGCGUUAUCCGGAUUUACUGGGCGUAAAGGGCGUGUAGGCGGUCUUGCAAGUCAGAAGUGAAAUUCCUGAGCUCAACUCGGGCGCUGCUUCUGAAACUGCAGGACUUGAGUGCUGGAGGGGAUAGCGGAAUUCCUAGUGGAGCGGUAAAAUGCGCAGAUAUUAGGAAGAACACCGGUGGCGAAGGCGGCUAUCUGGACAGUAACUGACGCUGAGGCGCGAAAGCGUGGGGAGCAAACAGGAUUAGAUACCCUGGUAGUCCACGCCGUAAACGAAGAAUACUAGGUGUAGGGGGUAUCGACUCCCUCUGUGCCGCAGUUAACACAAUAAGCAUUCCGCCUGGGGAGUACGGCCGCAAGGUUGAAACUCAAAUGAAUUGACGGGG
This 397-nucleotide ribosomal RNA is filed under the name uncultured bacterium. RNAcentral describes it as "partial 16S ribosomal RNA". It matches the Rfam family "Bacterial small subunit ribosomal RNA", at positions 523 to 918 of the family's 1533-position model. The record is from RNAcentral.